CGGGGCGUAGCGCAGUCUGGUAGCGCACCUGGUUUGGGACCAGGGGGUCGGGAGUUCGAGUCUCUCCGCCCCGACCA
RNAcentral lists this transfer RNA (77 nucleotides) under Alphaproteobacteria bacterium. RNAcentral describes it as "tRNA-Pro". It matches the Rfam family "tRNA". From Rfam's summary of the family: Transfer RNA (tRNA) molecules are approximately 80 nucleotides in length. Lineage: Bacteria; Pseudomonadati; Pseudomonadota; Alphaproteobacteria. The record is from RNAcentral.